Molecule: ribosomal RNA, 445 nt
Filed under: uncultured bacterium
Lineage: Bacteria
Description: partial 16S ribosomal RNA
Rfam family: Bacterial small subunit ribosomal RNA
Source: RNAcentral
GUGAGGAAUAUUGGACAAUGGGCGCAAGCCUGAUCCAGCCAUGCCGCGUGCAGGAAGACGCAUCUAUGGUGUGUAAACUGCUUUUGUACGGGAAGAAACACUCCCUCGUGAGGGAGCUUGACGGUACCGUAAGAAUAAGGAUCGGCUAACUCCGUGCCAGCAGCCGCGGUAAUACGGAGGAUCCAAGCGUUAUCCGGAAUCAUUGGGUUUAAAGGGUGCGUAGGCGGCCUUGUAAGUCAGGGGUGAAAGACGGUAGCUUAACUAUCGCAGUGCCUUUGAUACUGCAAGGCUUGAAGGUACUUGAGGUAGGCGGAAUGUGACAAGUAGCGGUGAAAUGCUUAGAUAUGUCACAGAACACCAAUUGCGAAGGCAGCUUACUAAAGUAUGAUUGACGCUGAGGCACGAAAGCAUGGGGAUCAAACAGGAUUAGAAACCCGAGUAGUCC